CGGAGGUGCAAGCGUUAUCCGGAUUUAUUGGGUUUAAAGGUCCGUAGGCGGACGUAUAAGUCAGUGGUGAAAGCCUGUCGCUUAACGAUAGAACUGCCAUUGAUACUGUAAGUCUUGAGUAUAUUUGAGGUAGCUGGAAUAAGUAGUGUAGCGGUGAAAUGCAUAGAUAUUACUUAGAACACCAAUUGCGAAGGCAGGUUACCAAGAUAUAACUGACGCUGAGGGGACGAAAGACGUGGGGAGGCGAACAGGAUU
Molecule: ribosomal RNA, 255 nt
Filed under: uncultured bacterium
Lineage: Bacteria
Description: partial 16S ribosomal RNA
Rfam family: Bacterial small subunit ribosomal RNA
Source: RNAcentral